This 391-nucleotide unclassified non-coding RNA is filed under the name soil metagenome. Its description in RNAcentral is "partial contains 5.8S ribosomal RNA, internal transcribed spacer 2, and large subunit ribosomal RNA". The stretch from base 1 to 122 matches the Rfam family "5.8S ribosomal RNA", at positions 35 to 154 of the family's 154-position model. The record is from RNAcentral.
GAUGAAGAACGUAGCGAAAUGCGAUACUUGGUGUGAAUUGCAGAAUCCCGUGAACCAUCGAGUCUUUGAACGCAAGUUGCGCCCGAAGCCAUUAGGCCGAGGGCACGCCUGCCUGGGCGUCACACGUCGUUGCCCCCCCAUCUACUCCUUUGGGAUUGCGGGGGGCGGAUGAUGGCCUCCCGUGCGCCUCGUCGCGCGGUUGGCAUAAAUGCCAAGUCCUCGGCGACGCACGCCACGACAAUCGGUGGUUGCGAAACCUCGGUUGCCCGUCGUGUGCGGUCGUCGCGCAUCGAGGGCUCGAAAAAAUUGCCGGGCUCCGGCUCGGCUUUCAACGCGACCCCAGGUCAGGCGGGGUUACCCGCUGAAUUUAAGCAUAUCAAUAAGCGGAGGA